GUGUUCACUCGGGCGGCACACACACUAAAACUGGAAUUAUUUGAAGAUUAGCAUGGCCCCUGCCCAAGGCUGACACACAGAUUCAUGAAGUGCUUCAUACUUCA
Myotis lucifugus (little brown bat) is the source of this 104-nucleotide small nuclear RNA. The record is from Ensembl. Lineage: Eukaryota; Metazoa; Chordata; Mammalia; Chiroptera; Vespertilionidae.